UUAACGCACUUAGUACGCGUAUCAGCUGCAAUGGACUACACACUGGUGGUAAUGAUUGCUAUGGUCAUGGUAGGCCUGGCCACUGGUCGCGCUCAGGUUCAGACUUUCGGUUUCGGUCCCAGCGGAAUUGGCCUUGCUGACAGUCAACAACAGCAACAACUGUAUCAACCUGUGGGCACUCAUAUACAAGGUCUGCGGUUGCAGGUCACCAACCCUGCGGGUUUCAAUUUGGUACAGGGGACAACAGGGCCCCUGCCUUCUGCCCCCAUCAACCGAAAGUAUAUUCUCCAAAUAAAAGUAAAGCCGACAGGAGACAGAAAACUUAAAUAUGAGACGCAAAUUGUGCCAUCAAAUUCCCCUUUUGCUGUACCAGAAGCUGAUUUAAGAAGCUCAUUCUCUCUGCACCAACUGCCUGCUCAGUCAGCGUUUGCCAAUGUACUGCCCCUGCCACAGCGGCUGUCUAACGCUGUUCUUGAAGACACUGCACAGUUCAGAACUGCAUCAGCGGCCGGCCUCCUAGGAGUAGCCUUCUCACCGUCUUCAGACGUGUCUCAGCUCAAAUUCAGUGGAAGUUUUGCAAACUACUCCUACUAACUGCAGUCAUAACUUAACCAAAGCCGAAACUGUGAAAUCAGAAAGAGAUACAACGGAUGUACUUAACGAAUUGGUGAACCCCUUAAAACAAGAAUUUACUCAAAAAGUGAAUGAGUCCCAGCUGUGUGGUGGAUUCUGCAGAAAGAUCUAGUCUCUGACGGACACGGCCUCUGCCAGACUCUGUAUCUGCCUCACCCAGUCACAGCUUGACUCGGUCUCAGCCUCACCCAGUGUCUGCGUGACUCGAACUGUGCAUCAUCCGUUCUGUAGAACCAGGUCUUUGGAGAGAUGACCCGGCAAAGUUAAGGGUCUUACAGAGGUCGGACCGUGCACACAGUGUCCGAGAAAGACCGUGUCCAUCAGAGACACCUUGAGGCAUAGUUCCGUUCCUAUAGAGUCUGGUUCUGGCAGGCAUCCGGUUUCCCUAAUCGAACCCUAUCUUAAAUGAUCUCUUCCGUACACGGAAAAUGCAGCAGGUCUCUCCCACACUCUCAGCCUCUCCCGGUCUUUUACGAUCUCGGUCUGUGCUCCACACGGCUCUACUUGAUACGGCCCGUGCUUCACCCGGUCUCAGCUAGAGGUAGUCUGUGAAUCAGUGUCUCUGCUUCGUUUUUCAAACUUUAUUUCGAAAAUAUCGAAUAUUUUUAGUUA
Molecule: non-coding RNA, 1245 nt
Organism: Zootermopsis nevadensis
Lineage: Eukaryota; Metazoa; Arthropoda; Insecta; Blattodea; Termopsidae
Source: RefSeq, a predicted model, not a curated record